RNAcentral lists this ribosomal RNA (234 nucleotides) under uncultured bacterium. RNAcentral describes it as "partial 16S ribosomal RNA". It matches the Rfam family "Bacterial small subunit ribosomal RNA", at positions 118 to 351 of the family's 1533-position model. The record is from RNAcentral.
UGAGUAACCUGCCCUUAACUCUGGGAUAAGCCUGGGAAACUGGGUCUAAUACCGGAUAUGACUCCUCAUCGCAUGGUGGGGGGUGGAAAGCUUUUUUGUGGUUUUGGAUGGACUCGCGGCCUAUCAGCUUGUUGGUGAGGUAAUGGCUCACCAAGGCGACGACGGGUAGCCGGCCUGAGAGGGUGACCGGCCACACUGGGACUGAGGCACGGCCCAGACUCCUACGGGAGGCAG